Long non-coding RNA from Calidris pugnax (ruff), 1035 nucleotides. RefSeq lists it as uncharacterized. Lineage: Eukaryota; Metazoa; Chordata; Aves; Charadriiformes; Scolopacidae. The transcript has 7 exons. The record is from RefSeq and is a predicted model, not a curated record.
GAGAUGCUGCAUUUCAAUGAUCCCAACCCGCUGGAUGUCCAGAAACUGCAGCUGUGAUAAACUCUCAUUUAUGGCUUUUCAAAGAUGUCACAUUUGGCACAGAAGUCCCUCAACCACAAGUUAUCAGUGACUGGUUCUGCACCAAAAUCGGCGUUUUUCUUGAGAUAUUGGCUGUGAAAAAAUUUGCGUGUGUGGGACUGUGUGUGAGAGUUCAGGGCGACUCCUGAGAAAGCGCAGAGAGGACCAGACAUCCUGGAAGAUCUCAGAAGUAGCCAUCUCAGAUGCAGCACUGCUAUGAUAUCAGAUGGAAUUUGAAGGCAUGUCUGUCUCUAUAGAAUGCAACAGCAAGAUCCUGAAGUGAUGAUUACAGCCAAAACCUGUGAUUUCAUGUUCAGCUGAUUGCUUUUGACCCGUUUGAGAACAUUAGUAGCUUGCUGAAAUCCUUGUGGAGCAGCAUUUGGAGGACACCAAGCAGCGUUUGGAGGACACCAAGCAGCGUUUGGAGGACACCAAAGGAACGCAGGUUCCACACGCACGCUGACAGAGGUUUUGCCUGGCACAGGGGAGCAGCGAAGGCGUAAGUUAUCAAGACGAAGGUAAGAGCAGCAUUGCUCAUUGCUCUGCACACAGACUGUGAGUCACACAUGUGAGAAGCCCCGCUUCUGAACACCACAGGAGAACACGGCAGGACCAGAAUGACCUUGCACCAGUCUUCCUGGGCAACAGGUUCGCUCAUAAAAUCUGCAUCAGAGACUUCCUUGCAAUUGGGUCAUUCAAUCUUUGAUCAUUUUUCUGUUCCAUAAGGACUACAGAGAGAUCCCAUGUGACCACGGUGGAAGGGAAGAAAGCUUAUCAUCGGGUGACAGAAGAAUGCCCUUAUUGUUCGAGCCAAUACUUACAAAUAACCCUUUCCAGUGUGUCAUACAGGAGUAUAAGCAUACAGCAAACCUUACUGUAUUUCAGCUCCAAAGAUCAAUACAUUUUGCAGUGAAAUAGGAUAUGACCUGCAUUGUAGUCCAUGGAAAGUUAAUCAGU